AUGAAAAGCUCACCUAUUUUUUGUGGUUGUGAUAGUCUAUCAAGUCUCUCUGUCAAGUUAGUUCAAACUAAGGAGUAUUUGCAUUUCCCAUUGGUUUACUGACUUAUCAGACUCAUAUUGCCAGUAGCGACAACACCAGUUGAAAGGGCUUUCUCAGCCAUGAAUAUAAUAAAGACAGAUUUGAGAAAAAAGAUAGGUGAUGAACGGCUGAAUGAUAUGAUGGUUUGCUAUGUUGAGCGAGAUAUAUUUGCUGGGAUUGAAGAAAAGAAGAUUAUCGAACAUUUUCCUGGCCUAAGGGAUCGUAGAGGCCAUCUUCCAAAUCCUCCACGUAUAACUACAACUUAA
This 345-nucleotide ribosomal RNA is filed under the name Triticum aestivum (bread wheat). RNAcentral's name for it is "partial small subunit ribosomal RNA". Lineage: Eukaryota; Viridiplantae; Streptophyta; Magnoliopsida; Poales; Poaceae. The record is from RNAcentral.